This 251-nucleotide long non-coding RNA is filed under the name Manihot esculenta (cassava). Its description in RNAcentral is "long non-coding RNA (MESC_LNC009667)". Lineage: Eukaryota; Viridiplantae; Streptophyta; Magnoliopsida; Malpighiales; Euphorbiaceae. The record is from RNAcentral.
UCCUUGAAAAAGUCACCAACCUUUUGACGUAAAGGUACAUAUUUGUGAUACCCACCCCCAGUUACUCAGUUGGUCACCUUUCCAAGUGGCUACUAGCUUUGUUCUUAGUCUUUUGACCAUUGGAACAGUUUUUUUUUUUUUUUGAUUUGUGCUUUUGAGGUCUUUGCCUUUGCUGAAUUUUCUUUCUCUCAAUGAUUUGGGCAAAUCAACACCAAUUGCUGAAUCAAGUCACAUUAAGUUCAUUCACACAA